RNAcentral lists this long non-coding RNA (1475 nucleotides) under Brassica rapa (field mustard). RNAcentral describes it as "long non-coding RNA (BRAP_LNC005096)". The record is from RNAcentral. Lineage: Eukaryota; Viridiplantae; Streptophyta; Magnoliopsida; Brassicales; Brassicaceae.
UUGAAGAAGCAGGCUUGCCAAGUUGUCUCCUUCCUGUCGGCUAGCACAAAAGCAGGGGAACAAGUUGGAGAUCCCAAUGAAGAAGAAGAAGAGUUAAAAGGUGGAAGCUUUAAUCAAGUGACAGCUUCAAAACUGCAAAGCUUGUGGAGUUGGUGCUAUAAAUGACGGUUUCAGAACGGACAUAGAAGAAGGCUUUGUGAAGACUCAGCUUCCUAACCAUGGUAUUGUCUCUGUUUCUUUCUUUUGAGACAGAACAAAGGAUGAAAAAAAAAAAUAUUUGUGUUGGAUUGAGUUGCUGGUUAGCUUAGAUUUUUGGGUUCAGAUAGGUUUGGAACAGAAGCUAUAAUGAAAUAGGCUGGUUUGGGUUUGUUGCGUGUGGAAUCUCUGGCUUUAAUUCUACUGCACACAAGGUGCUCGCGGAAAUGCCAACGAGAAAGUCAGAUUGUUUGGAGACAGUUUUGGUGGUAUAUUAAUAGGAAUCAGAGAGUUAGUAGGAUGGUUUAGUAAGUGUGGAAAGAGAGUUUUGAUUCUUCAUUAGACAUAGUAAGAAAUAGGUAAAGAAAGCCUAGAUUCAUAGUGAGGCAAAAAGGUCACAAUUGUACCUCUGAGUGAGAUCAACUAAGCUCUCCAAGUUCAAGAGAAACCUCUGAGUGAAGCCAUGUGAUACUCUCCAAGUAUAGGCCUGAAUAGAUCUCACACUUAGUUUCUUUUCCAUGAAGAAGAAGAACCAUUUGCCUGCAUCAAAAGCCUCCUACUUCAACUACUCAUGCUCUCACAGCUCAUACUCGUUUACAGUUCAAACUCAGCUUCUUGGUUUCCACCCGAAGCUAUGUUUGCGGGGGAGUAUUAAGCCACACAGCAAGCCCACAUCAAGCCCAAGACUAUGUUAUUGGAGAAGUCCAUGUAACUAGGGUUCUAGCAUUUAGAUUUAUAUAAAUAGUAGUUUAAGGUUUUGUAAAACUCAACUUUGGCUGCGCUUUCUAGCAGCCUCUCUUCUCAUCUUUAUUAAGCAUCAAUAUAACUCUUGAAUCUCUUGCAGACAACCCAAAGUCUUUCCCCUUCUGUUCUUUGUAUUUCAAUAAAGCUCAUUGAGCUAUCUUAGUUUAUGUUUCAAUAAAACACAACUCUAUCUAGUUCUCAAAUGUUAUCAGAAGUUCCUGAUUUGAAGCAGUGGUUGUUGGCGAAAGGUUGAGUUCAAGGAUUACAAAUCACAGAGAAUAUAGUGUUGAGGAUGAGGAAGGAAUUAGCUUUGGCGUCUGACUGAUUGGAGUCACCGGAGGUGAAGGUUGGAGUUACCGGAGGUGAAGAUCGGUGGAGCCAACGAAACUGAAGUGUCAAGUUGCAUGUUUCUCAAUCGACACGUGUUUCCAUUAUUCUCUGUGGAGUUUCCACAUUUUGCUUAUGUAAUAUUUUAAUAAGUGGUGUACUCUUCUGUAUCCUUGUUUCGUGGGAAUAAAAUAUGGUUGACAAAAAAA